This is a non-coding RNA of Phrynosoma platyrhinos (Desert horned lizard), 71 nucleotides long. Lineage: Eukaryota; Metazoa; Chordata; Lepidosauria; Squamata; Phrynosomatidae. The record is from the annotation of a GenBank genome assembly.
ACCAGCAUGGCAUAGUGGUUUAAGCAUCAGACUAGGAUCUGGAGACCAGGGUUUGAAUCCCAGUUCGGCCU